UGGGGAAUAUUGGACAAUGGGGGCAACCCUGAUCCAGCCAUGCCGCGUGCGUGAAGAAGGCCUUAGGGUUGUAAAGCGCUUUCAGCGGGGACGAUGAUGACGGUACCCGCAGAAGAAGCCCCGGCUAACUCCGUGCCAGCAGCCGCGGUAAUACGGAGGGGGCAAGCGUUGUUCGGAAUUACUGGGCGUAAAGGGCGCGUAGGCGGCACAUCAAGUCAGAGGUGAAAGCCCCGGGCUCAACCUGGGAAUUGCCUUUGAAACUGAUGAGCUAGAGUCCGGAAGAGGAUAGCGGAAUUCCCAGUGUAGAGGUGAAAUUCGUAGAUAUUGGGAGGAAUACCGGUGGCGAAGGCGACCGCCUGGACGGGUACUGACACUGAGGCGCGAAAGCGUGGGGAGCAAACAGGAUUAGAUACCCGCGUAGUCC
RNAcentral lists this ribosomal RNA (424 nucleotides) under uncultured prokaryote. RNAcentral's name for it is "bacterial SSU rRNA". It matches the Rfam family "Bacterial small subunit ribosomal RNA", at positions 355 to 796 of the family's 1533-position model. The record is from RNAcentral.